This 406-nucleotide ribosomal RNA is filed under the name uncultured bacterium. Its description in RNAcentral is "partial 16S ribosomal RNA". It matches the Rfam family "Bacterial small subunit ribosomal RNA", at positions 30 to 526 of the family's 1533-position model. The record is from RNAcentral.
AUUGAACGCUGGCGGCAGGCCUAACACAUGCAAGUCGAGCGCGCGGCGGACGGGUGAGUAAUGUCUGGGCAACUUCCUGAUGGAGGGGGAUAACUCCUGGAAACGGUAGCUAAUACCGCAUCCCAUACGAUGUGCCCAGAUGGGGUUAGCUCGUAGGUGGGGUAACGCCUCACCUCGGCGACGAUCCCUAGCUGGUCUGAGAGGAUGACCAGCCACACUGGAACUGAGACACGGUCCAGACUCCUACGGGAGGCAGCAGUGGGGAAUAUUGCACAAUGGGCGCAAGCCUGAUGCAGCCAUGCCGCGUGUGUGAAGAAGGCCUUCGGGUUGUAAAGCACUUUCAGCGGGGAGGCGUUACCCGCAGAAGAAGCACCGGCUAACUCCGUGCCAGCAGCCGCGGUAAUUC